Phyllostomus discolor (pale spear-nosed bat) is the source of this 102-nucleotide long non-coding RNA. RefSeq lists it as uncharacterized. The transcript has 3 exons. The record is from RefSeq and is a predicted model, not a curated record. NCBI's taxonomy places the organism in Eukaryota, Metazoa, Chordata, Mammalia, Chiroptera, Phyllostomidae.
CCCAGUACUCCAAGAUAUCCAUAGCCCAAGCAGUGUUACAAUAGAAAACCAAUUCCUUCUUAGUCAUUGCAUCAUAGUUGUACAUGGAUCACUCUGCUAAAA